This 3558-nucleotide long non-coding RNA is filed under the name Corvus moneduloides (New Caledonian crow). RNAcentral describes it as "lncRNA (ENSCMUG00000016955.1)". Lineage: Eukaryota; Metazoa; Chordata; Aves; Passeriformes; Corvidae. The record is from RNAcentral.
AUGGUCAGUCUGGCGUGGCUGUGGUCAGUCUGGCAUGGCCGUGGUCAGUCUGGCGUGGCUGUGGUCAGUUUGGGGGGUGGCCGUGGUCAGUCUGGCGUGGCCGUGGUCAGUCUGACGUGGCCGUGGUCAGUCUGGCAUGGCUGUGGUCAGUCUGGCGUGGCUGUGGUCAGUUUUGGGGGUUGCUGUGGUCAGUUUUGGGGGUGGCCGUGGUCAGUCUGGCGUGGCCGUGGUCAGUCUGGCAUGGCCGUGGUCAGUCUGGCGUGGCUGUGGUCAGUCUGGCGUGGCCGUGGUCAGUCUGGCGUGGCUGUGGUCAGUUUUGGGGGUGGCCGUGGUCAGUCUGGCGUUGCCGUGGUCAGUCUGGCGUGGCCGUGGUCACUUUCGGGGGGCUCACAGAGGCUCUCCCCCGUCCCCAGCGGUGCUGCGGGGGGUGCAGGGGCUGAUGGUGGCCGCCCUGCUGCUCUCGGCCCUCGGCCUCCUCCUCUUCCUCUGGCAGCUGCUGGGGGGGCCCCGCGGCCGCCUCUUCCUGCCCUCGGCCGCUGCCCAGCUGCUGGCAGGGCUGGCGGCGCUGCUGGCGGCCGGGCUCUUUGCGGCCGGAGGUGGCCGGGCCGGCGGUGGCCGCCCUGGGCACUGCCCGGUGCUGGCCGGGCUGGGGGGGGCCCUGGCGCUGGCCAGCGGGGGGGGGUACCUGCGCCUGCGGACACAGGAGUGAGCCGGACACACCGGCCACUGGCCACGCUCGCUGGACGAGAGCUCCCAGCCCAACCGAUGACGUCAUCGAUGGCCCCGUGACGUCAUCGAUGUGGGCGGUGACGUCACUGAUGCGGCCGGUGACGUCAUUGCCGGCGUGAGCGUGGCCAGUGACGUCGUCGCCGUGGCCGAUGACAUCAUCAACAGCAUCAGCGUGAGCCGUGACGUCAGCACCAAGAUGGGCGUGGCCAGUGAUGUCAAUGCCAGCGUGGCCAAUGGCCUCCCUGACGUAGCCAAUGACGUCAUCAGUGGGAUGGGUGUGUCCGGUGACAUCACCGGCAAGGCGUGCCUGGCAAAUGACCUCACCGAGGUGGCCGAUGACGUCACUGGCAGGAUGGGCGUGUCCGAUGACGUCACCGCGGGUGCCAACAUGACCAAUGACGUCACCGUUGUCAAUGACAUCAUUGCCGGGGGGGGGUCUCUGGGGGGGUCAGGGGUCACCCCAGGGCGCUGUGGGUGGUGGGGGGGGCAGGGGUCACCGUGGGUCUCUAUAGGGCACGCUGGGGUCUAUAGGGCACUGUGGGGUCUCUAUAGGGAGCUAUAGGGUUUCUAUAGGGUAGUGUGGGGUCUCUGUAGGGCACUGUGGGGUCUAUAGGGUGCUAUAGGGUCUCUAUAGGGUAGUGUGGGGUCUCUAUAGGGUGUUAGGGGUCUCUGUAGGGCACUGUGGGGUCUAUAGGGUGUUAUAGGAUCUCUAUAGGGCACUGUGGGGUCUCUAUAGGGUGCUAUAGGGUCUCUAUAGGGCACUGUGGGGUCUAUAGGGUGCUGUAGGGUCUCUAUAGGGCGCUAUAGGGUCUCUAUAGGGCACGCUGAGGUCUCUAUAGGGCACGCUGGGGUCUCUAUAGGGCGCUAUAGGGUCUCUAUAGGGCACUGUGGGGUCUCUAUAGGGCGCUAUGGGGUCUCUGUAGGGCACGCUGGGGUCUCUAUAGGGCACUGUGGGGUCUCUAUAGGGUGUUAGGAGUCUCUGUAGGGCACUGUGGGGUCUCUAUAGGGUCUCUAUAGGGCACGCUGGGGUCUCUAUAGGGGAUUUGGGGUCUCUAUAGGGUGUUAGGGGUCUCUGUAGGGCACUGUGGGGGUCUCUAUAGGGUCUCUAUAGGGCACUGUGGGGUCUCUAUAGGCCGCUAUGGGGCACUAUGGGGCACUAUAGGCCGCUAUAGGCCGCUAUGGGGCACUAUGGGGCACUAUAGGCCGCUAUGGGGUGCUAUGGGCCGCUGUAGGGCGCUAUGGGGCACUAUAGGCCGCUAUGGGGCACUGUGGGGCACUAUGGGGUGCUAUGGGGCGCUGUAGGGCGCUAUGGGGCACUAUAGGCCGCUAUGGGGCACUAUGGGGCACGCGGUCGCCACGCCCCUUCCCUCUCAGGCCACGCCCCUUCCCUCUCAGACCACGCCCCCUUCCCUCUCAGGCCACGCCCCCCGCUGGCGCCGCGCUGGGGAGGGGGCGGGGCCUCGCUGAGGGCGCGGCCAAUCAGACGCGGGCGCGCGGCAGCGGCGGGAGCCGUGGUGGGGAGCGCGAGCGCCCCCUGGCGGCCGCGCAGGAACGCGAAAAGGGCGGGAAAGCGCUGAGGGAAGCGAGGGAUGGGGGGGGAGGGGGAGAGACCUCUCGGGACCCCCAAAUUCCCCUGGGACACCCCAAACUCCUCCAAACCCUCCCUCGGGAGUCGCAGACACCCUCGGGACCCCCCAAGUCCCCUCGGGACUCCCCAGAUUCCCCCAGGAUGCCCCAAAUUCCUCCCUGGGCCCGCAGGCCCCCUUUGGACUCUCAUUGCUCCUUCGGGACCCUCCUCAGGUCCUGAAUGUGGGGCUCCCUAGUGGUGGGUGAGCCCCCGGCUCUGGGGUCUGGCCAUGGGGGGCUCCAUUCACCCCCCUCCCCUCACGCUGAGGGUCCCAACAUGGCGGAGGCUCAGCCCUCAGCCCUGGGGUCCCAUCAUGGUGGGGGUUCCCCAUCCCCUCACCCCCUUCCCCUCACCCUGGGGUCCCCCAUCAUGGCAGGGGGUUCUCCCCUCACCUUCCUCCCCUCACGUCCCCCUCAGCCUUGGGUGUCCUGUCAUGGUGAGGGGCUGCUCUUACCUCAUUCUGUGGGUGCCAUCAUGGCGGGGUUUCCCCUUUCCCCUCAUCCCCUCACCCCACCCUGGGGGUCCCUCACGCCUUUCCCCUCAUCUGGGGGGUCUCCCGUUCUGCUCGGCUCCUGUCCCUCCCGCCACUGUCGCGCUCACCCAAGCAUGGCCCUGGACUGGAAGCAGCUGCUGGACAGGUGAUUAACGGGGUUCAUUAGUGCGUGGCUGUGUGGGCAGUGGUGUGUAGCCUGGCCCUGUCCCCCCAGGUGUCCCUGUCCCCACCUGUCCCUCUGCCACUGCUUCUCCCUGUCCCUGGGGGUGUUUGUGGGGACUCUGGGGGGUACCUGGGUGGGGCUUAGAGAGGCUGAGGGGUUUUGGGGGUGCUCACAGGGGGCUUUUGAGGGUCUCCUGGGAGCUGUUAAAGGCUCGGGGGGGGGCCUGGGAGCUCCCGGUCUCUGUCACGAUCUGGCGACAGGCUCUGAACCACAAUGACCUCCGGGAAAGGAAGGGGGGGGGGGGGGGGAAUCGGUACCGGGCGGUGCCUGGGACCGGUACCGAAAGGGGCGUGGUCGGUACCGAAAGGGGCGUGGUCGGUACCGGAGGGGGCGUGUCCAGCCGCAGGGGGCGGGGCCGGGCCGGUGUGUCCCGGUGACCGGCGGCGGCAGCGGCGGGGAUGCGGCGGGGAGUGUGAGAGGUGAGCGCCGGGCGGGGACCACUCCCCACCGACCCCUCCCCUACAGACCCACCCCCGGGACCCCCCG